This 1820-nucleotide ribosomal RNA is filed under the name Salmonella enterica. RNAcentral describes it as "partial 23S ribosomal RNA". It matches the Rfam family "Bacterial large subunit ribosomal RNA", at positions 1163 to 2925 of the family's 2925-position model. Lineage: Bacteria; Pseudomonadati; Pseudomonadota; Gammaproteobacteria; Enterobacterales; Enterobacteriaceae. The record is from RNAcentral.
UAAAGCGAUUCAGCGGGUUACGAUUGACGGAGCGAAGCGACGUCAAAGCGUAUACAAAGUCGAGUCGGUUUAAGGAUACGUUCGUUGGGUAGGGGAGCGUUCUGUAAGCCCGUGAAGGUGGCCUGUGAGGGUUGCUGGAGGUAUCAGAAGUGCGAAUGCUGACAUAAGUAACGAUAAAGCGGGUGAAAAGCCCGCUCGCCGGAAGACCAAGGGUUCCUGUCCAACGUUAAUCGGGGCAGGGUGAGUCGACCCCUAAGGCGAGGCCGAAAGGCGUAGUCGAUGGGAAACGGGUUAAUAUUCCCGUACUUGGUGUUACUGCGAAGGGGGGACGGAGAAGGCUAUGUUGGCCGGGCGACGGUUGUCCCGGUUUAAGCGUGUAGGUGUGUGUUCCAGGUAAAUCCGGUUCACUUUAACACUGAGGCGUGAUGACGAGGCACUACGGUGCUGAAGCAACAAAUGCCCUGCUUCCAGGAAAAGCCUCUAAGCAUCAGGUAACAUCAAAUCGUACCCCAAACCGACACAGGUGGUCAGGUAGAGAAUACCAAGGCGCUUGAGAGAACUCGGGUGAAGGAACUAGGCAAAAUGGUGCCGUAACUUCGGGAGAAGGCACGCUGACACGUAGGUGAAGUGAUUUACUCACGGAGCUGAAGUCAGUCGAAGAUACCAGCUGGCUGCAACUGUUUAUUAAAAACACAGCACUGUGCAAACACGAAAGUGGACGUAUACGGUGUGACGCCUGCCCGGUGCCGGAAGGUUAAUUGAUGGGGUCAGCGCAAGCGAAGCUCCUGAUCGAAGCCCCGGUAAACGGCGGCCGUAACUAUAACGGUCCUAAGGUAGCGAAAUUCCUUGUCGGGUAAGUUCCGACCUGCACGAAUGGCGUAAUGAUGGCCAGGCUGUCUCCACCCGAGACUCAGUGAAAUUGAACUCGCUGUGAAGAUGCAGUGUACCCGCGGCAAGACGGAAAGACCCCGUGAACCUUUACUAUAGCUUGACACUGAACAUUGAGCCUUGAUGUGUAGGAUAGGUGGGAGGCUUUGAAGUGUGGACGCCAGUCUGCAUGGAGCCGACCUUGAAAUACCACCCUUUAAUGUUUGAUGUUCUAACGUGGACCCGUAAUCCGGGUUGCGGACAGUGUCUGGUGGGUAGUUUGACUGGGGCGGUCUCCUCCUAAAGAGUAACGGAGGAGCACGAAGGUUGGCUAAUCCUGGUCGGACAUCAGGAGGUUAGUGCAAUGGCAUAAGCCAGCUUGACUGCGAGCGUGACGGCGCGAGCAGGUGCGAAAGCAGGUCAUAGUGAUCCGGUGGUUCUGAAUGGAAGGGCCAUCGCUCAACGGAUAAAAGGUACUCCGGGGAUAACAGGCUGAUACCGCCCAAGAGUUCAUAUCGACGGCGGUGUUUGGCACCUCGAUGUCGGCUCAUCACAUCCUGGGGCUGAAGUAGGUCCCAAGGGUAUGGCUGUUCGCCAUUUAAAGUGGUACGCGAGCUGGGUUUAGAACGUCGUGAGACAGUUCGGUCCCUAUCUGCCGUGGGCGCUGGAGAACUGAGGGGGGCUGCUCCUAGUACGAGAGGACCGGAGUGGACGCAUCACUGGUGUUCGGGUUGUCAUGCCAAUGGCACUGCCCGGUAGCUAAAUGCGGAAGAGAUAAGUGCUGAAAGCAUCUAAGCACGAAACUUGCCCCAAGAUGAGUUCUCCCUGAGACUUAGAGUCUCCUGAAGGAACGUUGAAGACGACGACGUUGAUAGGCCGGGUGUGUAAGCGCAGCGAUGCGUUGAGCUAACCGGUACUAAUGAACCGUGAGGCUUAACCUUACAACGCCGAAG